Long non-coding RNA from Anthonomus grandis grandis, 1655 nucleotides. RefSeq lists it as uncharacterized. The record is from RefSeq and is a predicted model, not a curated record. The transcript has 2 exons. NCBI's taxonomy places the organism in Eukaryota, Metazoa, Arthropoda, Insecta, Coleoptera, Curculionidae.
AGUAAAAGUAUAACAUGUUUUGAUUUAAAAAAUUAUUGCUCUUUAUCACAAUUAAAAUCAGGGCUUUUUAAUACGAAUACUUUUUCUGCUGUUUUUAAAUCUGGGCCUUGGUUCUAAGGGCCAAAGUCAUUUUUUUUAGAUUUGGGCUUAAGUGCAUUUUUGAAAUCGGCACAGACCAGAUUGUUAUGUGUAAUAAGGGCCAAAGUCUAUCUUUCACAGGAAAAAAAUUACAAAUCCGCCAAAGGCCAAUGUCAACAUUUCAAUUUUAUACUCUUUUUUCAAUAAAAGGGCCAAUGUGAACAUAGGCCCCAGGAAUCCAAUAUUAUAUAACUUCUUAUAAGGCCAAUAUCGACAUUGGCCUUUUUAGAAAUAAAUAGUUUUGAUCUGUUGUGACAAUGGCCCUGAAUUAGGCAUUUGUUUUUCUUUCUGCUUCUCAGUUUGUUUUAACUGUUGCUCUGAAUAACAACGUGUUGGCGGGAAAUAAGUGUUGAUUUGUUAUUUUAUGCAUUAGAAAGGAGAAAUACUAGUUUUUUAGUUUAAUUUUACUCUUAUUUAUAAUGUUAUCCCAUGGCCAAAGGUUGGUAAAUUUGUGUUCAAGUUCUAAAACUGGUUACAAUGAUUCAGUAGUUUUUGAGGAAGCAAAAUCCUUGCAAACAGAAUCUAAUGUAACUGAUAAAACAGCUGUUGAGUCAGGAUCGUCAGGAUUACCAAAAGCUGUGAAAGUAUUAUCAAAUAAGGAGAUUCAAACAUUCUACGAAGAAGAAAGGAAGGAAUAAAGUCAUAGAGGGCCAAGAAAGUAGAAAAAGGAAAACGGAUUGGAACAGUUGGGAUAAGAAAAGAAAAAUGGCAAAAACUUAAGGUAAAGCGUAUUUGACAAAAGCAGGGAAAAGAGUUUCUGAAAAAAAAAUUAAAGAUCCCUGUACCUGUAAGAAAAAGUGUUCAGAGAAGUUUUCUAACGGCGCAAGAACAAAGUUAUUCCAGGGAUUUUAUAGGUAUCACAAGAAGCACAAAACCAAUUUAUUGCUAACCAUAUUCAAGAGUUUCCAAAAAGAUCAGAGAGGCGUAGAGAAAAUAACAAAGAAAGCAGAAGAAAUUAAUGAAGAAAACGGGAAAGUUUCAGCACAAAAAAGUUAAUACUUUAAGAAACCCUGUUGUUUGGGCUAAAAUAAGAGUCAUUCACUAUUCUACCGAAAAUCCUGGUCUCAUUGCUGAAAUACAAAACCACUUUUGCUGAAGACGAGCCAUAUCAAACUUUAAAUUUAUUAAGAAAAUCAACCCGUAAUUCCGAAAAUGCAAUAAAACUUUUCCCUAUUAAUAAAAAACCGUUAGGCAUUCCAAAAAAUAAAGUACAACAUUUGAGGGACCUAUUACCAUUUAUUGAUAAAAACAGUCAGCCAUACUAUCUGCAGUUUCUUAAUGGACUAACUUCGUCUGAGACUGCAAUUGAUAAUCUUGGUGAAAGUGAAGAUGAUGAAGAUUCGCUUUAGGUGUCUAUAUUUUUAUCAAAAUGUAUGUGCAACGACUUUUACGAAGUUUUUUCUUGUGUUUUUAGUUUCAUUUUGAUUUUUUUAAGUUGAGCCAACGUGUUAUUAGUUUAAUUUAUUUUUAUUAAAAAAAGUCAAUUUUUUUUGAAAAAUAAAUUUAUUUUAUACAUU